This 486-nucleotide ribosomal RNA is filed under the name uncultured bacterium. Its description in RNAcentral is "partial 16S ribosomal RNA". It matches the Rfam family "Bacterial small subunit ribosomal RNA", at positions 28 to 507 of the family's 1533-position model. The record is from RNAcentral.
GAUGAACGCUGGCGGCAUGCCUUACACAUGCAAGUCGAACGGCCACACGGGUGCUUGCACCUGGUGGCGAGUGGCGCACGGGUGAGUGAUACAUCGGGACAUGUCCUGUAUUGGGGGAUAGCCCGGCGGGAGCCGGAUUGAUACCACAGACGAACUACGGGAGACACCUGGUGAACUAGUGAACUCGCGCUAUGGUGUUGCUUGAUGACGGAUUAGCUAGUUGGUGGGGUAAAGGCCUACCAAGGCGACGAUCAGUAGCCGGUCUGAGAGGACGACCAGCCACACUGGAACUGAGACACGGUCCAGACUCCUACGGGAGGCAGCAGUGGGGAAUUUUGGACAAUGGGCGAAAGCCUGACCCAGCAAUGCCGCGUGUGUGAAGAAGGCCUUCGGGUCGUAAAGCACUGUUGUCAGGAAAGAAAACAUGGGUCCUAAAACGGUCGGGGGAUGACGGUACCGGAAGAAUAAGCAACGGCUAACUACGUG